Molecule: non-coding RNA, 31 nt
Filed under: Homo sapiens (human)
Lineage: Eukaryota; Metazoa; Chordata; Mammalia; Primates; Hominidae
Source: RNAcentral
UGGUCUGAACUACUCAGGAGGCUAUGGUGGU